Solanum pennellii is the source of this 3804-nucleotide RNA transcript. RefSeq lists it as uncharacterized. The record is from RefSeq and is a predicted model, not a curated record. The transcript has 10 exons. Lineage: Eukaryota; Viridiplantae; Streptophyta; Magnoliopsida; Solanales; Solanaceae.
AAUAACAAAUAAACUUGUCCCUAAAUGAAACUUUCAGCGGGAAGGAAGAGCAGGAACUAAAAGUCUCUAGAAAAUUUCUCUCUAUAUAGUAAUAACCUAAAAUCCCCAAAUCCAAUGAUAAAGGUAUUAGAUUUUUCUCUCUCUAGCAAUAUGCCAAAAUAUCUGAAGCUGAAGUAACUUCAAUUUUUUUUUCUCUGCCAAAAUCGUUGUGCAUAGAAGUCUUGUUACUCUUGAAUCUUGAGGCUUGAAGGCAUUAUUGGAAGAAAAAUCUCCUAAAGCUUGAAGCUUGAAGGCAUUAUUGGGAGAAAAACGUUUCACCUACAAACUGUAUCUACAUCUAAAGUUAUGGCACCGAGUAAGAAAUGGAUUCAACUUGUUGAUGAUCGACUUAAUGAGGUCUACUUUAUCGGGGUAGAAAAUUUUUUAAAUUAUGCUUUUCAAAGAGCAGGAGAAAUGUAUGAAAUACGAUGUCCAUGUGUCAAAUGUUGUAAUACCACAUUAGUAACACGUGAGACAGUCAGAACACACUUGAAGUUUAUGGAAUAAUUAAAAACUAUACCUUUUGGUAUCAUCAUGGGGAAGUCUACGGUGAGCCAGAAUCAGAAUGUGAAGAUAGAGAUGAUAAUGAAGCAGAAAAUUGUGAAAAUGAGGAUGAAAUAAGAGAAAUUUUGAGAGGUUUCUAUCCUAACCAUUAUGGACACACUGCAGAUGUUGAUUUUAAUGAGUCACAUGAAGAGGAACCAAUGUUGAAGCCAAAAAGUUUUAUAGCCUGUUGGGAGACGUUGAGAAGACACUUUAUCAAGGUUCAAAAAUUUUAAAACUUUCAACUUUGAAAGUAUGGGUCGUUGGAGUAAUGAGUCAUUUACGAUGUUAUUAAAAAUGCUAAAAGAUGAGUUGUUGCCUGAUGAAGCCGAUUUGCCGAAUACAUAUUAUGGGGCAAAGAAGGUAAUUCGGAAUCUUGGACUUUCCUAUGAAAGAUUUGAUGCUUGUAUAAGUGAUUGCAUGUUAUAUUAGGAGGAUAAAUUACUUGAUUCUUGUAAAGUUUGUGGCGAAUGCAGAUGGAAAGUUGAUAAACGUAGCGGGGAAGCAAAGAACAAAAAGGGUAAAAAGAUAGCAUCAAAGAUUUUGUGUUAUUUUCCAUUAAAGCCUAGGCUUCAAAGGUUAUUUAUGUCUUCAAAGACAUCUUCUCUAAUGACAUGGCAUCAUGAUGAAAGAGUUGAUGAUGGAAUAGUGAGGCACCCAGCUGAUUCAAUGGCAUGGAAAUCAUUUGAUGAACUUCAUCCUUCAUUUGCAGCCGAGCCUCGUAAUGUUCGACUUGGACUUGCGAGUGAUGGUUUCAACCAUUUCGGAAUGUAAAAAACUCAUAUAGCAUUUGGCCGGUGAUACUUAUUUCCACCUUGGUUGUGUAUGAAGCAAGAAAACUUUAUCAUGUCCAUGCUUAUUCCUGGUCCAGAUGGUCCAGGUGAUGCAAUUUACACAUAUCUUCAACCCUUAAUAGAAGAAUUGAAGGAGUUAUGGGAUAUUGGUGUUGAGACCUUUGAUUCAUCAACCAAGCAGAAUUUUAAGUUACAUGCUUCUUUGUUAUGGACCAUCAACGACUUUCCAGCAUAUGAAAAUUUAUCUAGAUGGAGUACGAAAGGAAAACUGGCAUGCCCAUGUUGCAACAAAGAUACUUCCUCAAUCAGAUUGACCAAUUGUAAGAAACAAUGUUAUAUGGGUCAUCGUUGUUAUCUUCCUCGCAAUCACAAAUGGAGGAAUGAUAAUAACUCCUUUGAUGGUAAAGAAGAGAAGAGGCUCCCACCGAAAAAACUUUUUGGUAUUGAGAUUCUUUAUCAAGUUCAAGAUCUUGAGGGGUUGCAGUUAACAAAGGAACCAAAGAAAAGAAUCAAAAUAUCACAUGAUAGUCGAAAAAAUAAUUGGAACAAGAAGAGUAUCUUUUUUGAACUUUCAUAUUGAGAGUCUCUUUUGUUGCGACAUAAUUUGAAUGUUAUGCAUAUUGAGAAAAAUAUAUGUGACAACAUUUUGGGGACAAUUAUGAAUGCCAAAGGAAAAACCAAGGACAGUAUUAAUACUCGGCUAGAUUUGAAAGAAAUGAAUAUAAGGCCAGAGUUGCACCCUAUCGAGAAAGGUGAAAAAUAUGAAGUUCCAACUGCAUGUUACACCUUAUCUCCACAAGAAAAGCACAAUUUUUGUCUGUUUUCGAAGAAUUUAAAGGUUCCAGAUGGAUUUUCAUCCAAUAUUUCUCAGUGUGUUAACCUGAAAGAUCACAAAAUUUCUUGUUUAAAAAGUCAUGAUUGUCAUGUUCUUCUUCAGCAUUUACUCCCUCUUGCACUACGGGGUAUGUUGUCCAAAGAAGUGUGUGAACCACUAAUUGAAUUAUCUUUAUUUUUUAAUAUGAUUAGAGCUAAGUCAUUAAGGAUUGAUGAUUUGGAGCAGAUUGAGGCUCAAAUUCCUAUAACUCUUUGCAAGUUAGAAAAGGUGUGAUAUGAAAUCAUCAAAGGAUGAAAAUCAGGUGGCAUCUAGAGUAAAGUUACUACUAAAUAUGCAUAUGUGCCAUCGAGUUCUAUAGGAAAAGGACGAGGAAGAGGUCUUAAAUCUAUGGUGUCAAGAACUUAUAUUCCAUUUUCUCCAUCUACUGAUCAAGUUAUGCAAUACAAUCAAUUUACUGAAACAAGUGUGGUUGCAUAGGGACGAGGAAAAGGUCUUAGAUAUGUGUUUAAUCCUCAAGGAGUGAGAACAAUGAAGAAAAACUACUUGAGUGUUGAGAAAGGACAUAUUCCAUCUUUUUCAUCUACAAAGGAACUUAUGCAAUAUAUCAAAACAAAUUUAUCAAGGGCUCAAGGGAAAUAUCAGGGCUUAAAUCUAUUGCUCAAUUGAAGAUAUUUGAAAAUGAGGAGCGAUCUUUCAAUCAAAAUGAUCGUUGUGUUAGUCAAAGCAUGUCAAAACCUUCUGAUGCUCAAGGAUGGAGAACAAUGAAUAAAAAGUAUUUGACUUCUGAGAAAGAGCAUAAGUAAGCUGAUGUUCCAAUUUCUCUUUUUACUGAUGAUGUUAUGGAGUUCACCCCAACAUUUGAAACAAGUUUUUCUCAAGGAUUGCGAACAAUGAAUAAAAUUUUUUUGGCUUUUGAGAAAGAGGAUAUGCAAACUGAUAGUGUUAUAGAGCCCACCCCAACUUUUGAAACAAGUUUCUCUCAAGGAUGGAGAACAACAGAUAAAACUACUUUGGCUCAUGAGAAAGAGAGUUUGCAUUCUGAUAUUCUAAUUUCUCCUAUUGAUCAAGUUAAACAGUCUGCCCAAAGAGCUGAAACAAUUUCAUGUGCUACUGGACUGGAUAAAAAGGUUCGAGGAAGUAACAAGUGCAAAGAAGUUGCAUCGCUUGAUAUUGGACAAAAGCUAAAAGUGACAUUUUACAAUAAUCGAACUGUUGGGAAGAAUAGUAAUCUAUUUUCGAGGCACUUGGAAAAAAUAGUUCGUGAUCGUAAUAUAUGUCCGUUGGGAGUAUCAUCAUGGAAAACAUUAAGGAGGAAAAGUUAAAUCACAUGUGGGCUGUUGUUAAGGGCGGAAAAGAUGGAAAUCCACCAGAUUUGACAACUAUCUUUUACGAGACUCGCAAGAAGAAUAACACACUUGUUGAUUCUGAAACAAUCGAGAAGCAUACACUUUGUAGGCUCAAAUUCAAGAAUUGGUGGAGUCUGAACCAUCACUUUCUAGCAUAGAAAUUGUUGAGAAAUGCUUUGGACCUCAAAGUCGUACUCAUGUAUUUGGCUUUGGAGGUGGACUAAAAGCAAGAGAUUUGAAAGGUGGG